UGCUCAUUUAUUUUAUUGAUAGUGUGAGGGCGCUUCAUGCGUUGAACGGAUUUAGCAAAAUGGCGGAGUAUCUUGCGUCGAUUUUUGGAACAGAAAAAGACAAGGUGAAUUGCUCUUUUUACUUUAAAAUUGGAGCAUGUCGUCAUGGAGAGAGAUGCUCGCGUCUGCACAACAAACCCACUUUCAGUCAGACUGUGCUGCUGCAAAACUUAUAUCUCAAUCCACAGAAUGCUGCCCUUACAGCAGAUGGAUCCCACAUCAUGGUUGAUGAUGUGGAAGCCCAACAGGAGUUUGAUGAUUUUUUUGAGGAGGUAUUUACCGAGUUGGAAGACAAGUAUGGUGAGAUUGAAGAGAUGAAUGUUUGCGACAACCUUGGUGAUCAUCUUGUGGGCAAUGUGUAUGUCAAGUUCCAUCGUGAGGAAGAUGCUGAUAAAGCUGUUGCUGACUUGAACAAUCGCUGGUUCAAUGGGCGACCAGUGAACGCAGAACUUUCUCCUGUCACUGACUUUAGAGAAGCAUGUUGUCGUCAGUAUGAAAUGGGGGAAUGUACAAGAGGUGGGUUCUGCAACUUCAUGCAUCUGAAGCCAAUUUCACGAGAAUUACGACGAGAAUUGUAUGGCCGUCGCAAGAAGUCACGGAGAUCCAGGUCUCGUUCGCGCAGUAAAAGUCGAAGCAGAGAACGUGGUGCUGAACGUGGUGCUGAACGUGGAGAGCGGGGCGACCGCGGUGGCGGCGGCGGCGGUGGUGGUGGUGGCGGUGGCGGCGGCGGCGGCGGCGGCGGCGACCGUGCACGACAUAGGUCACGCUCUCGCAGCAGGGAGAAGCGAAGAUCACGUUCUCGAGAUCGCCAUGGACGCUACUAAUUUUUCCUCCCCAUCAUGUCAUAUUUUUUUUGUCAGUUGUGGGAAAUGGCAACAGCCCUAAUGUUAGUUUGUUGUCAGACUACUUCCAACUUUCAGUUGGGACAUCUAUUCACUUAAGUGUGAGGCAGCAUUCAGAGCAUUUAAAUAAAAUUCAGAUAUACUGUUUGUAGUGGUGUAAGUAGAAAUUAAGGGGCUAGGCCAAGAUCUUUGUUUUGUGUCCAUUCUUAUUUCCUCCGCGUGAAACCUAUUCAGGUAGGGAAGUUUUGUAAACCCACAAGUGCUGUUUGAUCAUCAAGUUUCUAAAGAUUUGUUCACUCAUCUUCAGUUAUUUUUAUGGGAAUAAAUGUUGUGAAAGCAGAGAUUUUCUGUUCGCGCAAUUUUAAGUUGA
Molecule: unclassified non-coding RNA, 1251 nt
Filed under: Pomacea canaliculata
Lineage: Eukaryota; Metazoa; Mollusca; Gastropoda; Architaenioglossa; Ampullariidae
Description: splicing factor U2AF 35 kDa subunit-like, transcript variant X1
Source: RNAcentral